GCUGGCGGCAGGCCUAACACAUGCAAGUCGAACGCCGUAGCAAUACGGAGUGGCAGACGGGUGAGUAACGCGUGGGAACAUACCCCUCGGUUCGGAAUAACUCAGGGAAACUUGAGCUAAUACCGGAUACGUCCGAGGUUUUAAGCGACCUCGGAGAAAGAUUUAUCGCCGGAGGAUUGGCCCGCGUCUGAUUAGCUUGUUGGUGAGGUAAUGGCUCACCAAGGCGACGAUCAGUAGCUGGUCUGAGAGGAUGAUCAGCCACAUUGGGACUGAGACACGGCCCAAACUCCUACGGGAGGCAGCAGUGGGGAAUAUUGGACAAUGGGCGAAAGCCUGAUCCAGCCAUGCCGCGUGAGUGAUGAAGGCCUUAGGGUUGUAAAGCUCUUUUACCCGGGAAGAUAAUGACGGUACCGGGAGAAUAAGCCCCGGCUAACUUCGUGCCAGCAGCCGCGGUAAUACGAAGGGGGCUAGCGUUGUUCGGAAUUACUGGGCGUAAAGCGCACGUACGCGGAUCCUUAAGU
Molecule: ribosomal RNA, 521 nt
Filed under: uncultured soil bacterium
Lineage: Bacteria
Description: bacterial SSU rRNA
Rfam family: Bacterial small subunit ribosomal RNA
Source: RNAcentral